UUCCACCCUUCUUUCAGCCAUCUGAGGAGGUAGUUAGGCGCCGGAGUUAGCAUUGUGGGUGACUUCGGCCAAGGCCAAGGAGGCAAGGGCAAGGCUCCCAUGUACGGCUGACGGUGGAUGAUGCGAAGGGCCAUAGAAAUCUUGAGGAGAGUCUAGAGUGUCGUAGGCGCCUUGUUGGAUUCUUUUGGGUUCA
This is a long non-coding RNA of Cucurbita pepo subsp. pepo (vegetable marrow), 193 nucleotides long. RefSeq lists it as uncharacterized. NCBI's taxonomy places the organism in Eukaryota, Viridiplantae, Streptophyta, Magnoliopsida, Cucurbitales, Cucurbitaceae. The record is from RefSeq and is a predicted model, not a curated record.